Small nuclear RNA from Cucurbita pepo subsp. pepo (vegetable marrow), 163 nucleotides. RefSeq annotates it as U1 spliceosomal RNA. The record is from RefSeq and is a predicted model, not a curated record. Lineage: Eukaryota; Viridiplantae; Streptophyta; Magnoliopsida; Cucurbitales; Cucurbitaceae.
GUACAUACCUGGACGGGGUCGAUGGCCGAUCAGGAAGGGCCAUGGCCUAGAUUUGUGACUUCCAUUGCACUUCGGAAGGGUACUCGUCUAAGGUCUGCCCUUGCGGCAGAGCCUACGUCAUAAUUUGUGGUUUUGGGGGCUUGCGUCAACGCGCAGCCCCCUC